Quercus robur (English oak) is the source of this 198-nucleotide long non-coding RNA. RefSeq lists it as uncharacterized. NCBI's taxonomy places the organism in Eukaryota, Viridiplantae, Streptophyta, Magnoliopsida, Fagales, Fagaceae. The record is from RefSeq and is a predicted model, not a curated record. The transcript has 2 exons.
GGUAUGCUUCCAAAUAGCUUGUUAUGUGAAAGGUCCAAGAUUUGGAGUGAAGUUAGAGAACAAAGUUGUUUCGGUAUGGGGCCAUGGAAAUUGUUUGAGCGAAGGUUGAGAAUGAUCAAGCUUGAAUGUCUUUGUCCUAUCCAUGAAGGUAUGAUUCCAAAAAACUUAUUCUCACUGAUAUCAAUAAUCUCCAAAUCA